RNAcentral lists this ribosomal RNA (1204 nucleotides) under uncultured bacterium. RNAcentral describes it as "bacterial SSU rRNA". It matches the Rfam family "Bacterial small subunit ribosomal RNA", at positions 314 to 1533 of the family's 1533-position model. The record is from RNAcentral.
UGGGACUGAGACACGGCCCAGACUCCUACGGGAGGCAGCAGUGGGGAAUAUUGGGCAAUGGAGGAAACUCUGACCCAGCGACGCCGCGUGCGGGAUGAAGGCCUUCGGGUUGUAAACCGCUUUCAGUAGGGAAGAAGCGAAAGUGACGGUACCUACAAAAGAAGCACCGGCUAACUAUGUGCCAGCAGCCGCGGUAAUACAUAGGGUGCAAGCGUUGUCCGGAAUUAUUGGGCGUAAAGAGCUCGUAGGUCGUUUGUUACGUCGGAUGUGAAAACCUGAGGCUCAACCUCAGGCCUGCAUUCGAUACGGGCAAACUAGAGUUUGGUAGGGGAGACUGGAAUUCCUGGUGUAGCGGUGGAAUGCGCAGAUAUCAGGAGGAACACCAAUGGCGAAGGCAGGUCUCUGGGCCAAUACUGACACUGAGGAGCGAAAGUCUGGGGAGCGAACAGGAUUAGAUACCCUGGUAGUCCAGACCGUAAACGGUGGGCACUAGUUGUGGGAACCUUCCACGGUUUCUGCGACGCAGCUAACGCAUUAAGUGCCCCGCCUGGGGAGUACGAUCGCAAGAUUAAAACUCAAAGGAAUUGACGGGGCCCCGCACAAGCAGCGGAGCAUGCGGCUUAAUUCGACGCAACGCGAAGAACCUUACCAAGGCUUGACAUAUAGGGAAAAGUGGCAGAGAUGUCAUGUCCGCAAGGGCUCUAUACAGGUGGUGCAUGGUUGUCGUCAGCUCGUGUCGUGAGAUGUUGGGUUAAGUCCCGCAACGAGCGCAACCCUCGUUCUGUGUUGCCAGCAUUUAGUUGGGGACUCACAGGAGACUGCCGGGGUUAACUCGGAGGAAGGUGGGGAUGACGUCAAAUCAUCAUGCCCCUUAUGUCUUGGGCUGCACGCAUGCUACAAUGGCCGGUACAGAGGGCUGCAAUACCGUAAGGUGGAGCGAAUCCCAAAAAGCCGGUCUCAGUUCGGAUUGAGGUCUGCAACUCGACCUCAUGAAGUUGGAGUUGCUAGUAAUCGUAGAUCAGCAACGCUACGGUGAAUACGUUCCCGGGGCUUGUACACACCGCCCGUCACGUCACGAAAGUCGGUAACACCCAAAGUCAGUGGCCCAACCGCAAGGGGGGAGCUGCCUAAGGUGGGAUCGGUGAUUGGGACGAAGUCGUAACAAGGUAGGCGUACCGGAAGGUGCGGCUGGAUCACCUCCUUU